GCCAGAUUAGCUCAGGGGUAGAGCAGCUCACUCGUAAUGAGCAGGUCAAGGGUUCGAUUCCCUUUUCUGGCU
This 72-nucleotide transfer RNA is filed under the name bacterium. Its description in RNAcentral is "tRNA-Thr". It matches the Rfam family "tRNA". From Rfam's summary of the family: Transfer RNA (tRNA) molecules are approximately 80 nucleotides in length. Their secondary structure includes four short double-helical elements and three loops (D, anti-codon, and T loops). The record is from RNAcentral. RNAcentral also lists the same sequence under 5 other names.